UUGAGAACUCAUUUCAGGAAUAAUAAAUGGAGGAUUUGCCGAUUUGGUGAAACACAUGUAAAUUCACUCCUGGCUGCUUUAAACAUACCCAGCGUUGCUCAAAUAACUCUGAAGAAUAGAAGAAGAGAGGUCAGGCAACAAUUUGGACAAAUGGCAUGGGAAACUUGUAAUAAAAGUCUGCAGGAGGAGAUGAGAUUGAGUGAAGGGAGUCUGGCGGUUAUAUCUGAUGGUGAUUGCCAGAAGCGGGGUACCGGGAGAGCUUAUAAUAGUCUUACAGGACUUGCCUCUCUGUUGGAGAAAAAUCGAAGAAAAUAGUCGGUUUUUCAGUAAUGGGAAAAAAAGUAUGGUAUUUGCAGCUGCCAAAUUAAAGGGUAAUCCUCCCAGGCAACACAAGUGCUGUAAGAACUCAACUGGAUCGGCGAAGGCUAUGGAGCCUCAGCCUGCCAUGGCCUGUGAGAUGUUGGAGAAGAUCAAGAAUCUACGGGGA
Molecule: long non-coding RNA, 487 nt
Organism: Saccostrea cuccullata (small rock oyster)
Lineage: Eukaryota; Metazoa; Mollusca; Bivalvia; Ostreida; Ostreidae
Exons: 3
Source: RefSeq, a predicted model, not a curated record